Molecule: ribosomal RNA, 497 nt
Filed under: uncultured bacterium
Lineage: Bacteria
Description: partial 16S ribosomal RNA
Rfam family: Bacterial small subunit ribosomal RNA
Source: RNAcentral
GAUGGACGCUGGCGGCGUGCCUAAUACAUGCAAGUCGAGCGAACAGACGAUGAGCUUGCUCCUCUGACGUUAGCGGCGGACGGGUGAGUAACACGUGGAUAACCUACCUAUAAGACUGGGAUAACUUCGGGAAACCGGAGCUAAUACCGGAUAAUAUAUUGAACCGCAUGGUUCAAUAGUGAAAGACGGUUUUGCUGUCACUUAUAGAUGGAUCCGCGCCGCAUUAGCUAGUUGGUAAGGUAACGGCUUACCAAGGCAACGAUGCGUAGCCGACCUGAGAGGGUGAUCGGCCACACUGGAACUGAGACACGGUCCAGACUCCUACGGGAGGCAGCAGUAGGGAAUCUUCCGCAAUGGGCGAAAGCCUGACGGAGCAACGCCGCGUGAGUGAUGAAGGUCUUCGGAUCGUAAAACUCUGUUAUUAGGGAAGAACAAAUGUGUAAGUAACUAUGCACGUCUUGACGGUACCUAAUCAGAAAGCCACGGCUAACUACGUG